AUCGCCGACGCCAGAUUCCUUUCUUCGCCCUCUUCUCCGACGCCGCCGCCCCGCAAAACAAACGAAGACCCCGGCGGCUCGAAAAAACAAAAACAAACCAACCGCCGCCCUCGGCUCGGACGAGACGACCCGCUGAACUUAAGCAUAUCGCUAAGCGGAGGAAAAGAAACCAACCGGGAUUCCCUUAGUAACGGCGAGUGAACCGGGAGAAGCCCAACGCCGAAUCCCGUCGCAAGUAAAAGGCUUCGGGACGUGUGGCGCAUGGGUCGAAGGCAGCCGUUCGUUUUCGUCUCGCGUAGUUCGGAGUUCCCUCGAUCGGGGCCGCCCGCGGCGGGUGCCAGGCCCAUUCGGUGCGGACGGCGAGCGACGGCCUUCGAUCCGAGAGUCGGGUUGCUUGGGAACGCAGCCCAAAUCGGGUGGUAAGCUCCAUCCAAGGCUAAAUACCGGGACGAGUCCGAUAGUCGACAAGUACCGUGAGGGAAAGUUGAAAAGAACUUUGGAGAGAGAGUUCAAGAGAACGUGAAACCGCCCAGGGGUAAACGGGUGGGACCGCUCACCGCGAUCGCGGGGGGACUCAGUCCGGUGCUGCCCAGGCUCGAGCCCAAACUCGAUGUGAACUCGAACAGGCCGUCUCGCGGAUGGUCGUCGUCGUGUCCGCGGGGGACUCGUUUUCCCCCGCGGGCCAGCUUUUGCGCCCGCGUCGCCGACGAAGGAGACGGGCCGCGUGGAUAGCGGGAAGGGAAACGCGGUGACGGUGGCUGCGGGCGGUGGGGAGACUCGUUUUUCCUUUCGCUCGUCAUCCGUCGCCGCCGCUUCUUCUUUCCUCCCGCUCCCUCUGCGCGCGACUCCGCUGCACCCGUCCUCUUCUCGCCGCUCGGCAAUCUAUGGCGCGGGCGCUUCGGCGCGACUUCCGCACGGCCGGCACCGGACGCACUUCCCCUCCGGUCCGUCGUCGCGACCCGUUCCCGGCGUGCAGGUCGAACGCGCGGGUUUUUUCCGUAGGCGGCAGGCGCUUCUGAAAACCCUCCCCGUCGUCAGGCGGGGGGGGCCACCAGCCGUCGGGCCCGCGAAUCGUGACUGCCCCCUUCUGCCGGGGACGGAGGAAUCUGACGCGAUCCGUUACACGUGGCGAGCCGGUCCGUCUUUAAUCUCGUCGGACGUCGCGCGCGGGGGCGAAAGCCUCCCCUCGGCGCCCCACCGUCUCGGGCGUGCGCGCGAGAAGAGACGGGAGAGGACCGGCGCGGCCUCGCCGUCACGGCACCUCGUCGACGUUCGGUGUUCUGCGGGGGCGACCCCGCCAGAGCCCGUUCCGUCCGGCGUGGUCGCUCGGCGACGCCCCCUUCUACGGCCGCCCGCCACCCCGGGUCAGCGACGUGCAUCGGCAACCCACCCGACCCGUCUUGAAACACGGACCGAGGAGUCCUGGCCGUUCGCGAGUCGUAGGGGCCCCCUCUGACUAACCCCGAAGGCGUAGCGAAAGCGAGAGAGCGUGUCGGAGGGCGUCGAUCGGGAGAGGUGUCGUGGCGAAGUGGUCCGGGAGUCGUCGGGUGGGGGGGGAGUGCGCGGUCCUCGCGGUCCGUCUCUCUCUCUCUCUAUCUCGCCUCGCCCGCCUCCGAGCCGUGCCCGAUCCCGCCGGCGCGGUGUCUUCCGCCUUCCGCCGUCGCUGCCGCGGUGCCCGCGCUUUUCCCGGCCUUCGGGCCGGGAGAGGGAAGGCUCGCGGCUGGCGCGCGGUCGUUUUCCCUCCUCCCCUAGCCGGGGACAGGUGCCUUGGGAAUCGCGGGGGCAUCAGCUUCCAUCCUCCGUCCGCCCAUCGGUGAGAUCCCGCGGCUUGAACUAGUCCUAUUUUGUCGUCGAGUUUAGGCACUGCGCGCGGGCGCAUCACCCCCGGGUCGGUUUCCCCUUUUCACGAGUACGACUCGGCCGACUCUGGCGUAGCGAGCGACCAGGGACCCGAAAGAUGGCGAUCCACGCCCGGUCGGGAUGAAGCCAGAGGAAACUCUGGUGGAAGUCCGAAGCGCCUCUGACGUGCAAAUCGAUCGUCGGAACCGGGUGUAGGGGCGAAAGACCAAUCGAGCCGUCUAGUAGCUGGUUCCCUCCGAAGUUUCCCUCAGGAUAGCUGGCGCUCGAUCGUCGCAAUUCCAUCCGGUAAAGCGAACGAUUGGAGGCCCCGGGGCCGUUCACGGCCUCGACCUACUCUCGAACUCGGAACGGGUGGAACGGGCCGACUCUCCCGAACGACGGAGCCGACCCCCAUUUCCGCGCGCGUGCGCGCGGAAGCGAAUGCGAGUGCCAAGUGGGCCACUUUUGGUAAGCAGAACUGGCGCUGUGGGAUGAACCAAACGUCCGGCUAAGGUGCCUAACGCGACGCCCAUGAGAUCCCCGAAAGGGUGUCGGUCGAUAUAGACAGCAGGACGGUGGCCACGGAAGUCGGAAUCCGCUAAGGAGUGUGUAACAACUCACCUGCCGAAUCGACCGGCCCCGAAAAUGGAUGGCGCUGGAGCGACGGWCCGAUGCCGGACCGUCGCGGCGAGGAGCGAUGAUUCGCGCCGAAACGAUGCCGCGACGAGUAGGAGGGCGCCGCGGCGAGCACGGAAGCCUAGGGCGCGAGCCCGGGUGGAGCCGACCGCGGGUGCAGAUCUCGGUGGUAGUAGCAAAUAUUCGAACGAGACCUUCGAAGACCGAAGUGGAGAAGGGUUCCGUGCCAACGGCGGUCGAGCACGGGUCAGUCGGUCCUAAGACGCGGGCGAAAGUCUUCCCGAAAGGCGCCGGAUCCGUGAUGAGAGACGUUUUUCGUUUUUUGAGGGGAACGACGACGGGGAAGCGCUCUCUUCUCCGUUCUUCUUUUCUUCCUCGAAAACAAAAGAACCGAAACAUGAGCGGCCGGCCUCCCGUCGAAAGGGAAUCGGGUUAAUAUUCCCGAACCCGGACUCGGAGAGGGCCCGGGGGUGGCGACGUCGUCGGCAGCAAUGUCGGCGGCGCCCGUCGCUUCCCGGGCGAAACCGCGGUGACGCAAGCGAGCCCGGAGACGUCGCCGGGAGCCCCGGGAAGAGUUCUCUCUUCUUCGUAAAGGACCAUGUCCGUGGAAUCGGCUCGUCCGGAGAUACGGAAAAGGUACCUGUAGAGCGCCGCGGCUCGGGCGGCGUCCGGUGCGCUUUCGGCGGCCCUGGAAAAUCCGGGUCCGGUUUUCGCAGCUCUCGAGUCGGUCCGUACCCACCAUCCGCAGCAGGUCUCCAAGGUGUACAGCCUCUCGUCGAUGGCAUCAAUGUAGGUAAGGGAAGUCGGCAAAAUGGAUCCGUACCUUCGGAAGAAGGAUUGGCUCCGAGGACCGGGUCGGUCGGGCCGUGCCCGCGCGAAGCGAGGAACCGGUACGGGGCUGUAGCGUUCGCUCCGUUCGCGCUUUGCGGCGCAGGCAUAGGGGCCGCGGCGGUCCGUGUGCGGCGGCGUCCGGUGCGGUCGCGGUAGCGGGGCGGGGAAAGCGAUACGGGUGGGAGCUGGCGGUCGGGCGGCAGGGGCGCGGCGUCGACCAAAAACGGCGCGGGACCGUCGGCGGGCUUCGGUCAGCGGCGGGGUCGCGGCGCUUCGCUUCCGGGACGGGGUGUCGGCGGGUGGUCUCGCGGCCGCUCGUCGCACGUCUCCGUCCCCGCUCAGAAAAGGGGGUGAGGCGCGCGGCGGCUUCGUCAUAGUCGUCGUCUGUCGGCGCCCGCGUCGCGGCGUCCUCCGCUCCUGCGCUGUCCACGCUGCUCCCUCUCUUUUCUUCCGUCUCGUCCGCGGCCGGUCAACGCCACGGCGUCGUCGUCUCGGGAUCAUCCGCCCGCGGUACCGCCUCGUCGCUACCGGCGCGUCGGGUGGCGAGCAAAACGGCUCCUCGCCCGGGUCUUCGUGGAGCGCCACGGCUUCCAGCCCCUCUUCGGGUGAAGGCGGGUGCCGCCCUCGCGCGGCGUCCGUCCCUCUUCGCCCGUUGCUCAGCGUCUCUCUCGGCGUGGGGGCGUUCGUCCGGCAGCGAACGGUCAACUCGGAACUGGUACGGACCGGGGGAAUCCGACUGUCUAAUUAAAACAAAGCAUCGUGUGGCCGGUCGACCCGUACAGACACGAUGUGAUUUCUGCCCAGUGCUCUGAAUGUCAAAGUGAAGAAAUUCAACCAAGCGCGGGUAAACGGCGGGAGUAACUAUGACUCUCUUAAGGUAGCCAAAUGCCUCGUCAUCUAAUUAGUGACGCGCAUGAACGGAUCAACGAGAUUCCCACUGUCCCUACCUACUAUCUAGCGAAACCACAGCCAAGGGAACGGGCUUGGAACGAUCGGCGGGGAAAGAAGACCCUGUUGAGCUUGACUCUAGUCCGACUCUGUGAGGAGACACGGGAGGUGUAGCAUAGGCGGGAGGCGUGCCUUCGUCGGCGUCGGUCGCGCCGCGGUCGGGGUCUUCCGCGGGGCGGUGUGCGGGGCGUCGCGUGUCGGGCGGGGGUCGGGGUCUCUGGCUUGCGUUGCGYCGGCGUUGCGGGGGCGGCGGUUUCGUGCCGUCGU
This 4521-nucleotide ribosomal RNA is filed under the name Inioteuthis japonica. RNAcentral's name for it is "partial 28S ribosomal RNA". The record is from RNAcentral. Lineage: Eukaryota; Metazoa; Mollusca; Cephalopoda; Sepiida; Sepiolidae.